This is a ribosomal RNA of 600 nucleotides. It matches the Rfam family "Bacterial small subunit ribosomal RNA", at positions 36 to 636 of the family's 1533-position model.
CUGCGGCAGCGUACACAUGCAAGUCGAGCGGUAACAGGGGUAGCUUGCUACCCGCUGACGAGCGGCGGACGGGUGAGUAAUGCAUAGGAAUCUGCCCGAUAGUGGGGGAUAACCUGGGGAAACCCAGGCUAAUACCGCAUACGUCCUACGGGAGAAAGGGGGCUCCGGCUCCCGCUAUUGGAUGAGCCUAUGUCGGAUUAGCUAGUUGGUGAGGUAAUGGCUCACCAAGGCAACGAUCCGUAGCUGGUCUGAGAGGAUGAUCAGCCACAUCGGGACUGAGACACGGCCCGAACUCCUACGGGAGGCAGCAGUGGGGAAUAUUGGACAAUGGGGGAAACCCUGAUCCAGCCAUGCCGCGUGUGUGAAGAAGGCCUUCGGGUUGUAAAGCACUUUCAGCGAGGAAGAACGCCUAGUGGUUAAUACCCAUUAGGAAAGACAUCACUCGCAGAAGAAGCACCGGCUAACUCCGUGCCAGCAGCCGCGGUAAUACGGAGGGUGCAAGCGUUAAUCGGAAUUACUGGGCGUAAAGCGCGCGUAGGUGGCUUGAUAAGCCGGUUGUGAAAGCCCCGGGCUCAACCUGGGAACGGCAUCCGGAACUGU